This is a non-coding RNA of Rattus norvegicus (Norway rat), 2692 nucleotides long. Lineage: Eukaryota; Metazoa; Chordata; Mammalia; Rodentia; Muridae. The record is from RefSeq and is a predicted model, not a curated record.
UGUUUUUUUUUUUUUUUUUUUUAAAGAAUGUAGAACUUACUCUAGAAUACAAUAAAAAGGUAUUAGGCACUUGCUUUUGGUUUCAUAGUAUAUCCUUGUUGACAUCUAUUCUAAAGUCUGAAUUCCUGAACUCAUGCACACAAAGUAUAUUCACUGUUCAAAAGAGAAUUUCAAUCUUUCCUAAACGUGCAAAAUUAAGCCUUAAGUAAACCUGUGAUACACAAGGUUGAAUUUCAAAUGUGUCCCCUAAAAGACUUUAUUUCAGAUGAGAACGGAGCCCUUUGCCAAUCCUGGGAGUGAACAGACACGGUCUUUACCUACUUUCAUAAGAUAAGGAGACAGGAGAAACACCCACUUAAGAGAACAAUGAUGGGGGGCUAGAUUGUGUUCUGUCAACUUUGAAGAGGAAGAAAACCUCACUCUUCUCCCCCAAUGCUCCCUUUAGAGAGAGUUCACUGCAGCUCUUAAAGAGCAGAAAACUGAACAGGAUUAGUAUUCUAACACAGUCAAGAAAACAAGUGACUGGGGAACCGUGAAUUUUGGGUACUUUGCAAGUUCACCUGGUCACAUCUCUAAUUGGGGCCCAAUGUCUACUUCGGGUGCACUGACCCUUUAUAUAUAUUUUUUCUCUUUUGAAGUUGCAGCCAGGAACUAAGUCUCAAAACGCGAGUCUUCUAUUUAAAAGUCCUGCCCUCAUCAGGCUUCCACCUUUCAAAUACGCUCACCUCUACUUUUUUUUUUCCCAAAGAAAAGUACGCUCUCAGUAGGAAGGACUGUGACAGCUCCACGUCUGCAAAAGUCGGCGGCGCCGGCCUGGGCCGGGACCACCACGAGUGGGGACAAUGGAGGGAGGAGGGAAGUACAAGACAGAAGGGGAGGCAGUCACUGGGGAAGGUCCUCCGCGAGUGGGAGCUUGGAAAAGUCUCGGGGGAGCCUGCCAAGUGGCAGGUGGGCCCGGCCGCCGCCCCUCAAAGGGCCACGUCGCGCGGGCGGGCCGCUGCCACCGGGCCCCGCGCGUAGGCCGAGCCGCAGGAGAGGAGCCCCCGGGCGCGGCAGCGGGGCGCGGGGCUGGACCCUACCCACGUCCGCCGCGGCUCGGCUCUCUCCCAACUUGGGGCUUGCGGGUCCACAGGCUCCGGGCGCCUAGGCCAAGCACUAGCAGUUCAGCUCGACCUGCUGACCCACCCGCCACCCGGCUCCGGCCACCAGCCCGCUCUCCGGGCGCCCCCCACGGACACCGGCUGUGGGAAGAGCAGCCCCGGCUUUAGGUCUCGACUCGAACGCAACACUCCUCUACCCUUCGCAUUCUCCAUGCCUUUUCAUCCAAGCUCCCUCCAAGCCACAGAAAUGACCCCAGUCUGCCUGCGGGUGUUUACCGGGACUCGGGGCGGCGACGACUCCUCAGUCCCUCCGCUAAGAUGGCAGCCGGUCCCGAGCCCCGACUACAGCGACUAGAGCUAGUUCACACUUAGUGCGCAGGCGCGUCCUCUUAGACGCAGUCCGGACUACAAGCCCCAACAGGCUUUGCGCGCCAGCCUGCUAAAUCAUUUUUCCUCACCUCCAGGCUGCCAAGAAAGAACAAUCCCUUGCUACAGCAAGAAGUCUGAAGGAGCUGGCUAUAGAGGGCUCAAGACGUCUGUCCUAAACCAGAAUCUGCAUUUCAAAAAGGAAGAGGAAGAGGAAGAAGAGACCGCAGCAACAACAGUAACAACAUCAUCAUCAUCAACAACAACAACGAAAGUAGACUAAAGUCACACCUAAAAAUUCUUCAGGCAAAGAUAGAAUCAAGCAACAAGUAUCCAGGUCACUUUACGUAAGCUGGGAAGGUGUCAGACAGAAACACUCCCAGGAAUCUCAGAAGUCAUCCUGAUUCACACAGACUUCUCCGAGGGUGGCACAGGGAGCAACGAGAAGAGAAAUAUGCAAACAACAAGACUUUCUGCUCAGUCUUUACGAACUCUCUAGACUUGGAUGGAGAAGAGACAGGUCCCACAAGGUCAACUGGUCUAGUCAGCUGCAUUCGGCCUGUUUCUUCACCUGUGAAGCAGUACUCGUGGUAGUGUCUUACCUCUUAGGCUCACGGAAAAAUGAACCAAGAAGGCACUGCCCAGGGCAGGGUCAAGGGUGGUGCAAUAAAAAUGCUUGCUUUUUGCCAAUGCAGCAGCAGCUGUGUCUCUGAGUAGUCAGGUGGCUCAUGAGUAGGACUCAAAUCUCGCCAGCCCAAUUCCAGGGUCAUCUCAUUCUACCCAGAUAAGCCAGUGUCUUUUUUUGUUUUCCCUCUUCAAGACAGGUUUUCUCUGUGUAGCCCUGACUGUCCUGGAACUCAUUCUGUAGACCAGGCUACUCAAAUUCACAGAGAUCGGCCUGCCUCUACCUCCUGAGUGCUGGGAUUAAAGGCAUGCACCACCCACCACUGCCUAGCUUCAGCCGGUGUCCAAUAAGGAGUUGUAUAGGGCUGAGGUGGUUAAGAGCACUGACUGCCCUUUUGGAGACUGUGAGUUUAAUUCCCAGCAACCACAUGGUGGUUUACAAACAUCUUUAAUGGGAUCUGAUGACCUCUUCUGGUGUGUCUGAAGAUACAAACUCUGUGUGUGUGUGUGUGUGUGUGUGUGUGUGUGUGUGUGUGUGUGUGUGUCCGUCUAUCUCUCUCUCUCUCUCUCUCUCUCUCUCUCUCUCUGUGUGUGUGUGUGUG